GGGGAAGGAUGAGAAGCUUCGACCAAGGUUCGACUCGAGCGCCAGCGAGAGAGCGUUGCCGCAGGCAACGACCCGAAGGGCGAAGCGCGCAGCGCUGAGUAAUCCUUCCCCCACCACCA
Molecule: small RNA, 119 nt
Filed under: Escherichia coli
Lineage: Bacteria; Pseudomonadati; Pseudomonadota; Gammaproteobacteria; Enterobacterales; Enterobacteriaceae
Also listed under: 2 other names
Description: RtT sRNA
Rfam family: RtT RNA
About the family: This family represents a bacterial cis-regulatory element known as RtT RNA. The exact function of RtT is unknown although it is thought that it may be involved in changing the cellular response in relation to amino acid starvation.
Source: RNAcentral